Molecule: ribosomal RNA, 466 nt
Filed under: uncultured bacterium
Lineage: Bacteria
Description: partial 16S ribosomal RNA
Rfam family: Bacterial small subunit ribosomal RNA
Source: RNAcentral
GAUGAACGCUGGCGGCGUGCUUAACACAUGCAAGUCGAACGAUGAAGCCCAGCUUGCUGCGUGGGUUAGAAGCGAACGGGUGAGUAACACGAGAGUAGACUGACCCUGACUCAGGGUUAAGCCUGGGAAACUGGGUCUAAUACUAGCUAUGACUACUCCUCGCAUGGAGGGGGGUGGAAAGAUUUAUUGGUCUUGGAUGGACUCGCGUCCUAUCAGAUUGUUGGUGUGGUGAUGGCUCACCAAGGCGACGACGGGUAGACGGCCUGAGAGGGUGACCGGCCACACUGCGACUGGGACACGGCACAGACCCCUACGGGACGCGACAGUGGAGAAGAGUGCACAAUGGGCUGAAGCCUAAUGCAGCGACGCCGCGUGGGGUAUGACAGCCUUCGGGUUGUAAACCUCUUUCAGAAGAGAUGAAGCGAGAGUGACGGUACCUGCAGAAGAAGCGCCGGCUAACUACGUG